Molecule: long non-coding RNA, 875 nt
Filed under: Equus caballus (horse)
Lineage: Eukaryota; Metazoa; Chordata; Mammalia; Perissodactyla; Equidae
Description: lncRNA (ENSECAG00000058827.1)
Source: RNAcentral
GGACCCUCCAACUGCAGCUUUGGUGGAGAAGUGAAUGGCAUCCUGCUCGCUUAUUUGACCUGCGAUCCUGCGUGUCAGCCUCUGCUCGCUCUGAUGGAGAGGUAUUUGUGAAUUACCAUAUCUGCCUACUACCACUAUUCUAAGCACAUCGUAGCAAGCUACACCGCUGUUGAACAGAGCGGUUACACUGCGGGUGAAUCUAUAUGAGAUUCUUCUACCUGUUCUGACAACAUUGGCUACAGCAUCACUACUACAGCUCAACAACUGGGGUUUAAGAUUGCCAGCAAACCAUGAGAAGCUAGGAGAAAGGAAUGGAACCGCUUCUCCUUCACAUUCCUCAGAAGGAACCAACCCUGCAGACACCUUGAUCUUGGACUUCAAGCCUCCAGAACUGUGAGAAAAUAAAUUUCUGUUCUUUAAGCCCCUCAGUUUGGGGUGGUUUUAUCCGGCAGCCCUAGCAAACACAGUAGGGCUGUGGGAAAAUAGAGAGUAAGGGAUGUAAGGAAUCCUGAACAGGGGUCCACCUCACACCACUCUGCUUAUAGGGAAUCCGGGAGGUCACAAAUUAUAUUCUUGACCAUCCCCACCCCCUGCUAGCAAACACUGAUUCUUGAUCAUCUCCCUCUGCGCCCAGCCCUUGGUGGACAUCUUCACAAUCACUCCCAUCAAACUGUACUGAAUGAUUUAUUUCUCUCUCCAUUUAUCUCACCAGACCAGGAGCAUCUCAGCAUAAGGACUCUCUCAUUUUCCUUUAUGUUUCUUCAUUUCUUGUACAAAUUCUGGCAUAUGAAAAGUGCUCAAUAAACACUCAUUAAAUAAAUGAAUGGAGAAUGUGCAGAAUUUAAUGAGAAUUUAAUAUUUGUAAGCUUUCUGUG